GGGUCUGUAGCUCAGUUGGUUAGAGCAGGAGUCUCAUAAACUCUUGGCCGGGGGUUCAAGUCCCUCCAGACCCACCA
Molecule: transfer RNA, 77 nt
Filed under: Rickettsiales bacterium
Lineage: Bacteria; Pseudomonadati; Pseudomonadota; Alphaproteobacteria; Rickettsiales
Description: tRNA-Ile
Rfam family: tRNA
About the family: Transfer RNA (tRNA) molecules are approximately 80 nucleotides in length. Their secondary structure includes four short double-helical elements and three loops (D, anti-codon, and T loops).
Source: RNAcentral